UGGCAGUCACGGGUAACGGGGAAUUAGGGUUCGAUUCCGGAGAGGGAGCCUGAGAAAUGGCUACCACUUCUAAGGAAGGCAGCAGGCGCGUAAAUUACCCAAUCCUGAUUCAGGGAGGUAGUGACAAGAAAUAACAACUCGGGUCCCUCACGGGACUGCGAGAUUGCAAUGAGAACAAUUUAAACCACUUAUCAAGGAACAAUUGGAGGGCAAGUCUGGUGCCAGCAGCCGCGGUAAUUCCAGCUCCAAUAGCGUAUAUUAAAGUUGUUGCAGUUAAAAAGCUCGUAGUUGAAUUUCUGGCCAGUCCUGCACUGCGCAGUUUGCCGGUGUAGGGCUUGGUCAUCCGUAGGGGAAUCCAGUUCGGCCUUCACUGGUCGGCUGGUGGAACCUACAAUUUACUGUGAAAAAAUUAGAGUGUUUCAGGCAGGCAAUCGCUUGGAUACUCCAGCAUGGAAUAAUGGAAUAGGACUUUGGUCUAUUUGUUGGUUUGAGAUCAAAGUAAUGAUUAAUAGGGACAGUUGGGGGCAUUCGUAUUUAAUUGUCAGAGGUGAAAUUCUUGGAUUUAU
This 566-nucleotide ribosomal RNA is filed under the name uncultured ciliate. RNAcentral describes it as "SSU rRNA". It matches the Rfam family "Eukaryotic small subunit ribosomal RNA", at positions 347 to 929 of the family's 1831-position model. The record is from RNAcentral. Lineage: Eukaryota; Ciliophora.